UUCUGCCCUAUGAAAUUUUAAAUGGCUGCAGUAUAUUGACUGUGCAAAGGUAGCAUAAUAAUUAGUCAAUUAAUUGUUGACUUGUAUGAAUGAUUAAAUGAGGUAUAAUUUUUAUUAAUUUUAAUAUUAAAAUUUUAUUUUUAAGUAAAAAAGCUUAUUUUUUUUUUAGGGACGAUAAGACCCUAUAGAACUUAAUUACUUUUUAAUUUAUAAUUUGUUUUGUCUUUUUUAUUUGUAAUUUAUUUAUUUUUUUUGUUGGGGUGACAAGUAAAAUUAACUUUACUUUGCUAUUUCAUUAAUUUAUGAUUUAUUUGAUCCAUUUUUUAGAUUAUAAGUAAAAGUUACCUUAGGGAUAACAGCGUAAUUUUGAUGGGGAGUUCAUAUUUAUAUCAAAGUUUGCGACCUCGAUGUUGAAUUAAGAUUAGUUUAGGGGGCAG
Molecule: ribosomal RNA, 437 nt
Filed under: Ishidaella albomarginata
Lineage: Eukaryota; Metazoa; Arthropoda; Insecta; Hemiptera; Cicadellidae
Description: partial large subunit ribosomal RNA
Source: RNAcentral